Long non-coding RNA from Syngnathoides biaculeatus (alligator pipefish), 387 nucleotides. RefSeq lists it as uncharacterized. NCBI's taxonomy places the organism in Eukaryota, Metazoa, Chordata, Actinopteri, Syngnathiformes, Syngnathidae. The transcript is spliced from 3 exons. The record is from RefSeq and is a predicted model, not a curated record.
UGCACACAGACAAAGACACACACACAUAGUGACAGUGGACCUACUCAGAAUGCGAGCGAACCCAAAGUCGCACAACUUGAUGACUCCAGUCUUGAAGUUGACCGCCUGUAGCGUCUGCCACACGAUGCUCUUCAGCUGAGCCUCGGGAAUCCUGCGGAAGGACAGCACAAGGAACAGAAAGUGGACCCAUUACAACAUUUCUUUCGAAAGCCAGGCCACAUGUAUUUCAGUACUAUUGGUUGCCUCUGUGUAGAAGACCCACUUGUGAGAGCACACAACAAACACAAAAUAGAUGGAUUUCAGAAGGUCUGAUUGCAGCAAGACUCACCCUCGAGGGUGUUUUUCAAGCUCGUUGAGGACCGUCUGCUCGCAGAACUCAAAGACGAG